This 914-nucleotide ribosomal RNA is filed under the name Halanaerobiaceae enrichment culture clone SLAb1-1. RNAcentral's name for it is "bacterial SSU rRNA". It matches the Rfam family "Bacterial small subunit ribosomal RNA", at positions 9 to 873 of the family's 1533-position model. The record is from RNAcentral. Lineage: Bacteria; Bacillati; Bacillota; Clostridia; Halanaerobiales; Halanaerobiaceae.
AGAGUUUGAUCAUGGCUCAGGACGAACGCUGGCGGCGCGCUUAACACAUGCGAGUUGAACGCUCCGCCCUUUUCUGCCCUUCGGGGCAGAGAGGAUCACGGAGAGUAGCGGACGGGUGAGUAACGCGUAGGUAACCUGCCCUGAGGAGGAGGAUAACCCUGCGAAAGUGGGGCUAAUCCUGCAUAUGUUAGGGAGUGGCAGCACACCCUAAUGAAAGGCGGCAUCAAGCCGUCGCCUCAGGAUGGGCCUGCGUCGGAUUAGCCAGCUGGUAGGGUAAAGGCCUACCAGGGCGACGAUCCGUAGCUGGUCUGAGAGGACGAUCAGCCACACUGGGACUGAGACACGGCCCAGACUCCUACGGGAGGCAGCAGUGGGGAAUCUUCCGCAAUGGGCGCAAGCCUGACGGAGCGACGCCGCGUGGGUGAAGAAGGCCUUCGGGUCGUAAAGCCCUGUCAGCGGGGAAGAAAGCGAUCAUCAAGAAAAGGGUGAUCGUUGACGGUACCCGGUGAGGAAGCCCUGGCCAACUACGUGCCAGCAGCCGCGGUAACACGUAGAGGGCAAGCGUUGUCCGGAAUUACUGGGCGUAAAGGGCGCGCAGGCGGCAAGGCAAGUCGGGUGUGAAAACCUGGGGCUUAACCCCAGGCGUGCAUUCGAAACUGUUUUGCUUGAGGGCAGCAGAGGGAAACGGAAUUCCUGGUGUAGUGGUGAAAUACGUAGAUAUCAGGAGGAACACCAGUGGCGAAAGCGGUUUCCUGGGCUGUCCCUGACGCUGAGGCGCGAAAGCCGGGGGAGCGAACCGGGAUUAGAUACCCCGGUAGUCCCGGCUGUAAACGCUGGAUCAUNUAGGGUGUUGGGGGUUAAACUCCUUCAGUGCCGCAGUUAACCGCACUAAGUUUCCCGCCUGANUCNGACGC